GAACGAGGUAGCAAUACCUAGUGGCAGACGGGUGAGUAACACGUAGUCAACCUACCUCUUAGUGGGGGAUAACUAGCCGAAAGGUUAGCUAAUACCGCAUACGAUCGUCGAGAGGCAUCUCUUGAUGAUGAAAGGAGCAAUCCGCUAAGAGACGGGACUGCGUCCCAUUAGUUAGUUGGUGGGGUAAUGGCCUACCAAGACUCCGAUGGGUAGCUGGCUUGAGAGAGCGACCAGCCACACUGGAACUGAGACACGGUCCAGACUCCUACGGGAGGCAGCAGUGAGGAAUUUUCCGCAAUGGGGGAAACCCUGACGGAGCGACGCCGCGUGUGGGAAGAAGGCCUUCGGGUCGUAAACCACUGUCGAAGGGGACGAUAUUGACGGUACCCUUGGAGGAAGCCCCGGCUAACUACGUG
RNAcentral lists this ribosomal RNA (416 nucleotides) under uncultured bacterium. RNAcentral describes it as "bacterial SSU rRNA". It matches the Rfam family "Bacterial small subunit ribosomal RNA", at positions 64 to 507 of the family's 1533-position model. The record is from RNAcentral.